GCUCUUUCCGUAGUGGCUGUAUCUGCAUCCUGUCUCUGUUUCUCUCUCUCCCCCGUCACUUUCCCUCCCUCACCUUCUUUCUCCUCUUCAAUUUCCGGGUUCACCCCCACUCGCGCCCACCGGCAUCCCCCAGACUGAGGCCCUGCAGGGUCCUGGGUGGGAGCUCAGUGCGGUUGCAGGUGGUGCCCUCUAGAUGUUUCUGCAGUCGGAACAUUUCUAUGAUUCAGCUGCCAGCAUUAAAGUUUUAAACAACGGCCACUUUGGAAAGCCUUUCCCAUCCUCCUGUCCCGGGUUCCUCUAGGACUAAAAACACGUAGUCCACAGUGAAAUGCUUGGUCCCUCCCGGCACCCUGUGGCGAAUGCCUUCCUUAACUGAGCAUGUAUUGGGUGCCAGGCCCCCUCCAGGCGAGGGUCUGCAUGGUGAGCAAACUCCAGUCCCUGCCCCGUGGAGCUGUCCUCUGGAGGCCAGGAGAGGGCGACAGCGCUUUGGCGGCACAGCCCGCUGGUGUCCUUCCCACGUGUGUCUUCCCCUUCCCGGGCCUGGGGGGAAUCCAGGUGAGCGUGACAGGUGAAGUGCAGGGAAGAAUGGCAAAUGAAUGACUUUGGCGCAAGAGGCUGUGGUCUCACCUGAAGCGAGGCGGCUUCAGAGGUGGUGCUUUGACCUUUCAGGCAGCAACCUCAUCCUUUGUCUCUCACUUCCUGCCCUCGCUCUCCCUUGCUCCGUGGGCGCAGGUGGGGCAGCGGCCGGAUCUCAGCCCUGAAUAGUCACCGAGUUCUGCUCUGCGCGGUGUUUUCUCCUGGUCCUUAUCAGAUGCCAUUGGUCUCUCUGCAACAUUUGGGGCACCGAAGCCAACUUGACCUGCCUGAUGCAAACAUCUGGAUUCCAGGGGAACUACCAGGGCCAGUGGCUGAAGGCACAAGCAUCGAAUCACCAGCUCUUCAGACUCCAGGCUCUCCCUGAGAAAACUGAAGUUCUCAUCUCCUUUGGGCAAAGAAUGUGGACAGAGGACACCGCUGGGCUUUCCUCAUACAGGACUCAUCAGCAAUGCUCAGAGAGUUUGAAAAACAAGCCCAGGAUCCCCACAUAGCAGUGAAUUUUUCAUUCCAGGCAGUCGA
Molecule: long non-coding RNA, 1116 nt
Filed under: Equus caballus (horse)
Lineage: Eukaryota; Metazoa; Chordata; Mammalia; Perissodactyla; Equidae
Description: lncRNA (ENSECAG00000053782.1)
Source: RNAcentral